RNAcentral lists this ribosomal RNA (440 nucleotides) under uncultured bacterium. Its description in RNAcentral is "partial 16S ribosomal RNA". It matches the Rfam family "Bacterial small subunit ribosomal RNA", at positions 338 to 795 of the family's 1533-position model. The record is from RNAcentral.
CCUACGGGUGGCAGCAGUAGGGAAUAUUGCACAAUGAGGGAAACCCUGAUGCAGCGACGCCGCGUGCGUGAAGAAGUACUUCGUUAUGUAAAGCUCUGUCAGCAGGGAAGAAAAUGACGGUACCUGAGUAAGAAGCCCCGGCUAACUACGUGCCAGCAGCCGCGGGAAUACGUAGGGGGCAAACGUUCUCCGGAUUUACUGGGGGUAAAGGGAGCGUAGACGGCAGUGCAAGUCUGGAGUGAAAGGCGGGGGCUCAACCCCCGGACUGCUCUGGAAACUGUACGGCUGGAGUGCAGGAGAGGUAAGCGGAAUUCCAAGUGGAGCGGUGAAAUGCGUAGAUAUUAGGAGGAACACGAGUGGCGAAGGCGGCUUACUGGAUUGUAACUGACGUUGAGGGUCGAAAGCGUGGGGAGCAAACAGGAUUAGAUACCCGGGUAGUC